Molecule: long non-coding RNA, 1986 nt
Organism: Scylla paramamosain (green mud crab)
Lineage: Eukaryota; Metazoa; Arthropoda; Malacostraca; Decapoda; Portunidae
Exons: 5
Source: RefSeq, a predicted model, not a curated record
AUAAUUUAAAGAGUCUACCUGAUUUCAUCCAUGACAAUUAAACAUUUGAUAAUAACGAGAGGCUUCAAGUCACACAAGCUUUUCAAUGACUUCACACAAGAUCAUACAAUAGAUGAAGAAUCGUAGUGUAAACACCGCCGGGACCACUUCAAAUUUGGCGCUUGAAUUGGAGAGAGAGAUGUGGACAUUUUGACAAUUACAAUUACAAUGGCUUAUAACUUAGUUUUACAUGUUCAUGCUUCAUUAUAUUUCACUUGUUUUAUUUUGUAUUAGAAUAGUGUAAUAUGAGAGAAGCUGGAUUAAUUGGAAAUAUAAUUUGUAGGUUUGUGGGUAACGAGUCCACGCUGACAUAGGAGAGUGAGCGGACGUCAGACACACAGAGGGGUGGUGUUUGAAGGGCGUGCGUGUGCAGCUGCCUUAUUUAACCCGGAUUUUCUCUCAAGACGGUGACACGUGCCAGUGGAAGCUUAAUGGCUGCCGGAAGGUGGUCGUGAGGGCCAGAAACACUUAUAAUAUUGACAAAUGACCCACCUGCUGCUUGGCCAGCUGGCGGACUGGUCACAGACGCCAUGGUGCAAUAGGAGACUACCCCAUCCCCUGCCUCCCACCCUGCUCCACCCAGACACCAUGGCCCGGCAGCGACGCCAUUCCACUUGCUACAUGACGCUGGCUGACGCACUCCUGACGUGGCAGCGACAGGAGGCGGAGGGCAGGAGCAAGAGUCAGAUGGUGAAGGAAGGCGUGACGGAAGAGGUGGUGGCUGUGGAGGGUGUUCGUACUGGGUACCUCGGCAAGGUCUAGUGUGCAGGUUUGCAGUAAACCUCCCCGAAGGUUCCAGAGCUGGUCAGCAGGUGCCCAGUUCAGGCUGUCACAAGACUGUGUGAUGGUGGACCUUCCACUGAUACUCACUGAAAACAGCUGUGCACUGCCACUCACAGGAAAUGACUACCCCAUCCCCUGCCUCCCUGCCCUGCUCCACCCAGAUGCCAUGGCCCGGCAGCAACACCAUUCCACCUGCUACACGACGCUGGCUGACGCACUCCUGACGUGGCAGUGACAGGAGGCGGAGGGCAGGAGCAAGAGUCGGAUGGUGAAGAAAGGCGUGAUGGCGGAGGUGGUGGCUGUGGAGGGUGUUCAUGCAGGGUACCUCGGCAGGGUCUAGGGCCUGAUGUGAAGGUGUCUGCAGCCAGUGUUUGGUGUCCUCUGUGCCUGCCUGGUGGUGCCUCAUUGCAGGGCCUGAUGUGAAGGUGUCUGCAGCCAGUGGUGGUGCCUCAUUGCAGGGCUGAUGUGAAGGUGUCUGCAGCCAGUGGUGGGUGUCCUCUGUGCCUGGUGGUGCCUCAUUGCAGGGCUGAUGUGAAGGUGUCUGCAGCCAGUGGUGGUGCCUCAUUGCAGGGCUGAUGUGAAGGUGUCUGCAGCCAGUGGUGGUGCCUCAUUGCAGGGCUGAUGUGAAGGUGUCUGCAGCCAGUGGUGGGUGUCCUCUGUGCCUGGUGGUGCCUCAUUGCAGGGCUGAUGUGAAGGUGUCUGCAGCCAGUGUUUGGUGUCCUCUGUGCCUGGUGGUGGUGCCUCAUUGCAGGGCUGAUGUGAAGGUGUCUGCAGCCAGUGGUGGGUGUCCUCUCUUCCUGGUGGUGCAGCCUGAUGUGUUGCCUGCUUCAGUGUAAAUCUUGCAAGCCAGAUCUGCCAGCUGUCUCCAGUGUAGUAGUCUAGGGUGCUUUGCUUUGUGUCUUUGGCAAUAAAUAAAUUUGUGAGUAUCAUUCUCAUGUGAAUUAUAUAGUUUGAUAAAAUUACAGAAUGUGCUUGUGUAAACUAAAUUUAUAUAUUGGUGGUAAACAAUUCAUGCAUCCCCAAGUAAAUAAAUAAAAUAAAUAGGACCCAAAACAAUAGAUACAAUAGAUCAUCCUCUGGUCAAAAAAAAAAAAAAGCCAGGAUUGGCUGGCCUAUUUUUGGUGAUCAUCCUCUGGUCAAAAAAAAAAAAGCCAGGAUUGGCUG